Molecule: ribosomal RNA, 253 nt
Filed under: uncultured archaeon
Lineage: Archaea
Description: partial 16S ribosomal RNA
Rfam family: Archaeal small subunit ribosomal RNA
Source: RNAcentral
UACCAGCACCCCGAGUAGUCGGGACGAUUAUUGGGCCUAAAGCAUCCGUAGCCGGUUCUGCAAGUCCUCCGUUAAAUCCACCUGCUCAACAGAUGGGCUGCGGGGGGUACCGCAGAGCUAGGAGGCGGGAGAGGCAAACGGUACUCAGUGGGUAGGGGUAAAAUCCUUUGAUCUACUGAAGACCACCAGUGGCGAAGGCGGUUCGCCAGAACGCGCUCGACGGUGAGGGAUGAAAGCUGGGGGAGCAAACAGG